RNAcentral lists this ribosomal RNA (649 nucleotides) under Staphylococcus aureus. RNAcentral describes it as "partial 23S ribosomal RNA". It matches the Rfam family "Bacterial large subunit ribosomal RNA", at positions 513 to 1164 of the family's 2925-position model. The record is from RNAcentral. Lineage: Bacteria; Bacillati; Bacillota; Bacilli; Caryophanales; Staphylococcaceae.
GGUGAAAAGCACCCCGGAAGGGGAGUGAAAUAGAACCUGAAACCGUGUGCUUACAAGUAGUCAGAGCCCGUUAAUGGGUGAUGGCGUGCCUUUUGUAGAAUGAACCGGCGAGUUACGAUUUGAUGCAAGGUUAAGCAGUAAAUGUGGAGCCGUAGCGAAAGCGAGUCUGAAUAGGGCGUUUAGUAUUUGGUCGUAGACCCGAAACCAGGUGAUCUACCCUUGGUCAGGUUGAAGUUCAGGUAACACUGAAUGGAGGACCGAACCGACUUACGUUGAAAAGUGAGCGGAUGAACUGAGGGUAGCGGAGAAAUUCCAAUCGAACCUGGAGAUAGCUGGUUCUCUCCGAAAUAGCUUUAGGGCUAGCCUCAAGUGAUGAUUAUUGGAGGUAGAGCACUGUUUGGACGAGGGGCCCCUCUCGGGUUACCGAAUUCAGACAAACUCCGAAUGCCAAUUAAUUUAACUUGGGAGUCAGAACAUGGGUGAUAAGGUCCGUGUUCGAAAGGGAAACAGCCCAGACCACCAGCUAAGGUCCCAAAAUAUAUGUUAAGUGGAAAAGGAUGUGGCGUUGCCCAGACAACUAGGAUGUUGGCUUAGAAGCAGCCAUCAUUUAAAGAGUGCGUAAUAGCUCACUAGUCGAGUGACACUGCGC